UCUAAUGCGUAAUCAGACAAAACGUGUGAGAGAGGGAGAGAUGCGCAGAGGUAGAGAGGCCAUCACGGUCGGAGCCGCCAUCACCGGUCGUCGUCACGACCGGAGCCUCCAUCACCGCUCGUCGUCACGGCCAGAACUCUCCCACUGCCGCGCCGGGCUUUGUCACCAGCAUCGCCAACCAGGAGCGAUCGCGAGCCACCGCCGCACUCUACUGGAGCGUGAUCUACCGGAAUUCGCUUUCCUCCACCGGCGAAGACCAGCGACGAGGGGUUCUUUUAGAUGCUUGACAGAUGAAUGUUCGGAUGAAAGAAGUUUCGCCACCACUCAGCACCGCCAUCUCUCUACAAGAGAGAAGAUGCCACCACGGCCGGGGUUGAUGUCGCUAUCUGCUAAAACUAGCCCCGUCUGCCGUCGAGCCAACCGGGCUCGUCCAACCACCACCGCGACUGAUUGCUGCCACCAACGAUAGACAAAAUACGGAACGAAACCUUCAUCGCCGCGCGACUCCGCAAAACAGGACGAAAUCGUCAUCGCCGGCGACUCUGCAAAACAGGUUUUUCGGUUCUCCUCAAAUGGGUAUCAAAUAAAGGGUAAUGGGUUUUGGUGAAAGUAUUUAGCAUGUUUGGUAGUUGGGUGGAAUGGGAAUGAAUAUUAAUAGUUGGGGAAGGAAUGAAGAAGUGAAAUGAAACCCUUAUUUAAUAAGGGUAUGGGUUUCUCCAUUAAUGGGAUAUUCCAUACCCAUAGUAGCAUUCUUAGAACCUAUCAACCAAACACUAACAAUCACUUUCAUACCCAUUCCCUAUACCAAAACCCCCAACCAAACACACCCUUGGUUUCUCCUAAAAUCAUCAGGAUUCUAUCGUUAACGCCCAGCUUUCUUCCCUCCCUCAUUCGUCUCUGAUUCGCCACCCACCGCCAUUUUAAACACUUCUCCGCCACCUAUAAAUCCCGGCCGAGGGUGAUUGCGUAUGGAGGAUUCAACACAAUUUAUAUCGGUAAGUUCUCUGAUUCGACACCGGCAUUGAGGUUUUGCAUAAUCUCGGGAAGUUCUCCGAUUAAAUCACGUCCGUCGUCUUCAUCCAUACCUCCCAGGGGAUUUAGAUUCGCCGGUCGUCUUCCUCCAUACCUCCCGGAAGGUUGAUAGUGAUAUUAUCCUGGUGAUUAACCGAGCAGUGAUGUUCAACGAAGACUCCAGCAGCAAGCAUCGGCAGGCAUGGUGAACUCCGACGAAUAAACCAGGUGGUGGUGGUUCCUCCAGCUGCGACUAACUUCUCGUCUCCUCGUCAUAGUGGUUCCCCCUCCGACGACUUGCGAUGAACAGAGCAGCGACUGGCCUCUUCUCUUGUUGACAGCAGCAAGGAACGGGAUCCGGCAACCUUCCUUGUACAGCGGCUGACUCCGGCGCAGUUAGAACUUCCGACGACGGCAGCACGCAGCAUUAGCUCCUCCCAGCGACCUCUGUUUCUUCUCAGCGAGCAGAGCAACGGUUGUGGGCAGUCCGGUAGUGUCUUCUCUUCUCUGGCGAUGCUUGGUGAGCGAGGAAGAUGAUGUUGGCGGUCGACGAAUCAGAGAAGCCAUGGAUUAAAGAUGGAUUAUCAUGGAAUAGUAGUUGAUUAUAAGGCACAUUCUGUCUGUCUUCUUUCUUGAACUAAAACAUCACGUAACCGGGAGAGUUUCAGCUUCGCAUUUAGCGUUCCAAGAGUUGGCCAGGCCUUUCACAACUUUCAUGCCCAGAAAUCACCCAGCGAAUCUCCCAACCAGUUUGAGUAUUCUUUCAUCCUAAAAAAUAAGCACUUCAUCUGGCUCAAGGUUAACCGCUCCCUAUAAGCACUGCAAUUAUAAACAAGUCAUGCACAAGCAACAAAUAACAGUAUAUCACUUGUAAUUCACCACGUCCAAGUGAUGGCUUUAACAUAUUAGCAAUAUCAUAGCCGCGAUGGCCGCCAUGGCUGGAACAGAGGUCACUGCCGGUGGAGAGCUACUGCUCACGCCACUGGAAGAAGCCCAGACUUCGCUAGAACGAGAGAGAAGUCUAGGAGGGAGCUAGGAUGAUCAAAGAAGAGAAGGACGAUGGAGGGAAGGAGAGAGGAAGGCCGGUGACAUGCUCGCCGGUGACUGCUACUACCAUUUACUCUCGCCAGCUGCCAUGAGGAAGGAGAGGGGAAGAGAUACACGAAAAUGUUGCUAUUGGACAAGGGACGAAGAGGCCGUUGGGUCAGAAACGACGAGGAAGGAAGACGUUUGCGCAGAAAAAAUCCAUGUCAGCAUAUUUUUACCUAUAACAUAUAGGUAACCUAUGAAAAAUUCUAAGUGAAAAAAAAUUAUCGUUUGUGCAUCGAAACAGAAGUUAUGAAAGGUCAAGGUGCAGUAUGAAGAAUCAGUUAUAGUUUAUGAUGCGGGAUGACACUUUAGCCAUUAGUAAAAUGAAGUGCAAGUAGAAGUAGAUCUAUUUCAUAAAAUAUGAACAACAAUGUAUUCCCAAUGUUGACACUUAUAAAGUAGGCAUCACAUGCAUUGCAAGGCAGUGUUAAACACUGUAUAUGUACCAUUUUCAUACUCUAGGAAAA
This is a long non-coding RNA of Ipomoea triloba (trilobed morning glory), 2567 nucleotides long. RefSeq lists it as uncharacterized. The transcript has 2 exons. Lineage: Eukaryota; Viridiplantae; Streptophyta; Magnoliopsida; Solanales; Convolvulaceae. The record is from RefSeq and is a predicted model, not a curated record.